Molecule: non-coding RNA, 48 nt
Filed under: Akashiwo sanguinea
Lineage: Eukaryota; Dinophyceae; Gymnodiniales; Gymnodiniaceae
Source: RNAcentral
UUUUUUUUUUUUUUUUUUUUUUUUCACUUCACUGUUGUCAGAUUUUUU